Molecule: non-coding RNA, 69 nt
Organism: Podarcis lilfordi (Lilford's wall lizard)
Lineage: Eukaryota; Metazoa; Chordata; Lepidosauria; Squamata; Lacertidae
Source: the annotation of a GenBank genome assembly
GCUGUAGCUCAGUGGGAGAGGAUCUGCCUUGCAUGCAGAAGGUCCCAGGUUCAAUCCUGCCCGUCAGUG